AACGAACGUUAGCGGCGCGCCUAACACAUGCAAGUCGCACGAGAAAGGGCUUCGGCCCCGGUACAGUGGCGCACGGGUGAGUAACACGUGGGUAAUGUUCCCUCAGGCGGGGGAUAACCUUCCGAAAGGAGGGCUAAUACCGCAUAAGACCACGGCCUCGAAAGAGGCUGAGGUAAAAGCAGGCCUCUUCACGAAAGCUUGCACCAGAGGAUCAGCCCACGGCCCAUCAGCUAGUUGGCAGGGUAACGGCCUACCAAGGCUAAGACGGGU
Molecule: ribosomal RNA, 270 nt
Filed under: uncultured bacterium
Lineage: Bacteria
Description: partial 16S ribosomal RNA
Rfam family: Bacterial small subunit ribosomal RNA
Source: RNAcentral